CUUGCCAACUCAGUUUUAGUAUAACAUGCAGCAACAGAAAGCUUCCAAUCGUGAUUUCAUAAUCUUUGCUUCAAUUUUGGGAAAUUUCUUGCUUCAAGCAUCUAUUAGGUUGGAUUUUCAGUCACAAUAAAGAAAUCCAUCAUAUACUACUUGCCAAAAAUAGGCAGGUUCACUGUUUUCAUGGUUUUCUUUAGUCCAAACUAAAGCAUGGAGUAUUUUACUAUUUUUAUGCUGAGCAUAGUUAUGCAGUAAUCAUUUACCAAAUGUUCUUGUCAUCUUGAUCCAUGUUUGCAUAACACCUUGUGUCCUGCUUUUUCAGGAACAUCAUAUACAAACAAAACAUGGACCUGUAUCUGUUGCUGUGUAUGGUGACCAUGAUAAGCAUGCCCUUAUUACUUAUCCAGAUGUUGCUUUGAACCAUAUGUCUUGCUUCCAAGGACUACUAUUCUGCCCGGAGGCUGCCUCACUGCUGCUCCAUAAUUUUUGCAUUUACCAUAUAAGCCCCCCUGGACAUGAGUUAGGAGCCACUCCGAUUUUACCAAACAGUCCUGUGGCAUCAGUUGAUGAGUUAGCGGAUCAGGUUGCAGAAGUACUUGAUUUCUUUGGAUUGAGUUCUGUUAUGUGCUUAGGUGUCAGUGCUGGUGCAUACAUUCUUACUCUCUUCGCAACAAAGUAUAGGGAGCGUGUGCUAGGUCUUAUCCUCGUUUCACCUCUAUGUAGAACUCCCUCAUGGACUGAGUGGUUUUAUAACAAGGUGAUGUCGAAUUUGUUGUAUUAUUACGGGAUGUGUGACGUUGUGAAGGACUGUUUGUUGCAGCGUUACUUUGGCAAGAGAGUGCGAGGAGGCUCUGCUAUACCAGAAUCUGAUAUUAUGCAGGCGUGUAGAAGUUUCCUAGAUCAACGGCAAAGCAUGAAUAUAUGGCGGUUUAUCCAAACAAUCAAUCAGAGACAUGACUUGACAGAAAGCCUGAAGCAUCUGCAGUGCAGAACUCUGAUAUUUGUCGGUGAGAACUCGCAGUUCCACACUGAAGCUGUUCACAUGACUGCAAAACUUGAUAAGAGAUACAGUGCUCUCGUUGAGGUGCAAGCGUGCGGGUCCAUCGUGACGGAGGAGCAGCCGCACGCGAUGCUGAUACCAAUGGAGUACUUCCUCAUGGGAUACGGCUUGUUCAGGCCGAGCCAUGUGAGCUCUAGCCCUCGCAGCCCUUUGAACCCGUUCUGCAUAUCGCCGGAGCUCCUCUCGCCCGAGAGCAUGGGCGUGAAGCUGAAGCCGAUCAAGACGCGGGCCAAUCUCAGAGUGUAGGUACAUAUAUGGAAGAAGAAGAAGAAGAAAAGGUUGGACGUGUGAGGGGCUUUAGGCUAACCCGGCGAUCGGCAAUACUGAUGGCAUGUCUGCCCUGAUUUUGGCGUUGAAAUGGGGAGAAAUGUUGUAACUGUGAUGUAGAUAUAGAGAAGAGUUUUAGGGUGGUGAGGUUGGUUGGUUGGUUGGUGGUGGGGUUCUAUUCCAUUGAUUCGUGGUAGUAUUAAACAGUUGUAAAUGGUCACAGAUUGUUUGUCAAAGCAAAAGGAAUAAUGAUAAUAAUAAAGGGAGGCUGGUGAGGUGCUGUCCGAUUAGGUGCUCCACUUCGCCUGUACCCUUGGUUUCCUUUUAUGAGCUAGACUGGUGAACCAUUGUUGUCUCCUGAAGCAAAGUGUUAUAUAUUCAACCAUCGUUGUCUUCUGAAGCAAACUUGCAUCAAGGCCAGGGCCCAGCGCGAUCCGAAUUCUUGUGGCUAGGACAAAAGUUAUCAGUUGUGGACUGUCAAGACCUGCCCCAAGCUCGACUGAAGUAAUUAAUAAUUUUCAUCCAGAAAUUUGCAAAUUUGAAAGGAUUUUAGUCAAAUUUACAAAAUAUAUGUUCGACAUAAUGAAGAUGUUGACACGUGUUGCGUUUGUCAACCUGUGGUUGGAUGGUUAGGAUCUAGGAGUAUAGUGGUAUUCCCAGCGCGGCAGCG
RNAcentral lists this ribosomal RNA (1994 nucleotides) under Triticum aestivum (bread wheat). RNAcentral's name for it is "partial small subunit ribosomal RNA". Lineage: Eukaryota; Viridiplantae; Streptophyta; Magnoliopsida; Poales; Poaceae. The record is from RNAcentral.